UACGUAGGGUGCAAGCGUUGUCCGGAAUUAUUGGGCGUAAAGAGCUCGUAGGCGGCCGAUCGCGUCGGAUGUGAAAGCUCGGGGCUCAACCCUGAGAGGCCAUUCGAUACGGAUCGGCUAGAGGUAGGUAGGGGAAAGUGGAAUUCCUGGUGUAGCGGUGAAAUGCGCAGAUAUCAGGAGGAACACCGGUGGCGAAGGCGGCUUUCUGGGCCUUACCUGACGCUGAGGAGCGAAAGCUGGGGGAGCAAACAGG
Molecule: ribosomal RNA, 253 nt
Filed under: uncultured bacterium
Lineage: Bacteria
Description: partial 16S ribosomal RNA
Rfam family: Bacterial small subunit ribosomal RNA
Source: RNAcentral